This 876-nucleotide long non-coding RNA is filed under the name Equus caballus (horse). RNAcentral's name for it is "lncRNA (ENSECAG00000053996.1)". The record is from RNAcentral. Lineage: Eukaryota; Metazoa; Chordata; Mammalia; Perissodactyla; Equidae.
CUCACAUUUGUGAGGUGUCCCAUCUGUGUCUGCAGGAGUCACCCUGAAGUUGACAGGAAUAUGAGUCAAAUGGCAGAUUCGCUUUGCCCCUGCGUUUUCACAGAAGCCAAUGGUAACAUUCUUGCUGACAUAUUCAUAUCGUCUAUCUCCAUCCCAAAGGUGAUGAGAAGAUCUGACAGAUAGAGACACAUCAGCAGCCAUGCCAACUGGCUGCCAACUUGGACAUAUGUACAGAGAAGAGAGUGUGCUAAAGUUCCUUAUGCAAAGAGCCAAGAGCCCACUGACAUUCACCAAUGACUGAAUAACGUGUCAAUAUCGCUACAGCAUAGUCAAGUUUGGAGUGAGCCAUGUUAAAGGUUCUGGAAAGGAGAAGAUGACCACCUGCGUAGGGCACCACUCUGCCAUGUAUAUGUGCCUCAUUUGGCAUCCACUUUGCAUGUCUGCUGCUGGGCUUCCAUCUGUCCAAUCUCAACGUAGUGUCAGAGAUAAAAACUGAAGACUCCAUGGCUUCAAAAUGCAUUUUUCUGCUGGCUGCCUGAUGGCUGUCUGGGGACAUAAAAUUUAGAAGGCAAUCCUUGCCAACUGACCCUCUUGUAUGAUAUGUAUGUUUUAAUUUUAACUCUGCAGAAUGUCUAUUUAAUCUAAUCAAUCCAUAACUUCAGAAAGAGCUUUGCAAAUUUAAAGAUACAAAAGUAGAAGAAGAUAGUUCAUCAUCUUAUCAUAGAGCCAGAUCACAUGUAACUUUGAGUUAAAACUUGAAAUAUUUUCCCUUUUAGCUAUUGAAUGUGUACCUGGAAAAAUAUAGUAUUAACUGGAAUGCAAUUUAUCUUGUAGUAUAUGCCUAAAUUAUAAUUGAAUCACAACAUCUAAUCUUUU